AUAUUUCCAUGCGGGAGGAAGUUCUUGCACUGGAUGGCCGUUAAGGAGAGAUUCUUGGCUCUGCCUUGCAUAAAUCUCUAUGACUUCUGCUGUAGUGCAUGCUUUUCUUUCAAAAGUGUUUUUAUUAUCCGUGCUUCUGGCCAUCUUACUUCAACGUCAUCUUCAAAUGCAUUUCUCACUAAGGAUGUACUUAGCCUACCUUUAGCUAUGUCUUUUUUAUGCUUUUGUAAUCUUGUUUCUGACGAUCUUAAAGUAACUCCAAUAUAUGCUUCUUGUAAGUUUUUCGUAUUGUUUAUGGUGGGAAUUCUAUAACCCCUGCUUUCUGCUC
Molecule: long non-coding RNA, 328 nt
Filed under: Androctonus crassicauda
Lineage: Eukaryota; Metazoa; Arthropoda; Arachnida; Scorpiones; Buthidae
Source: RNAcentral